GCGCUAAUUAUAGACGUGAAUGGAAAGCGGCCGCUUCUGAAUGAUCGCGUUGCUCGAGCUGCCGUUGGAAGCUUAGAAGCAGGUGCUACCGUGCUAGAUACAAAGCGAUCUAUUUAAAAGCCCUCUGUCACGCACGCACACUUACUGACGAAUCCUCUGGCUCUCUCCUACCACCGCCCGGUGGCGGAUUCCGGAAUUGGUUCAAAAGGCCUUGAUCCCGAACACCCAGGACAGAGACAGAGUACUUUUCCUACCUCUUUCGCCUGCAUCCUUAGAAAACUCCCGUGGAUGAGAAGAUCCCCAGGCCUUUACAAGCUGUUGUUUUACAAAAGGAGAAACUGAGGCAGGAAGAGGCGGUGGAUGUGCACCAGAGCACGUGGUGCGUCGGUGCAAUAGCUGAGGGCACAUGGAACAUUCACCAAGAUAAACCAUAUGCUGGAACAUAAAAUUUAUGGAUGUCACCCAUGAAGCAGAGUCCUUCAGACCCUCAAUCAAAAACAAGUCUCAUUUUACAUUAAAUUGGAGGACUAUCUGGAGUCUCUGACCACCGUGUGACAGAAAAGAGAGCAGAAUUGUUGCAUGAUGGGUAACACUCAUCAGUAAUCGCUGUUUGCCAAGCCAUCUGGGAGGAGACCAAAGAGCUAUAAAAUAAGUUCAGGCACGGUGGCUCAUGCCUGUAAUCCCAGCACUUUGGGAGGCCGAGGUGGGUGAAUCACCUGAGGUCAGGAGUUCGAGACCAGCCUGGCCAACAUGGUGAAACCCUGUCUCUACUAAAAAUACAAAAAAAAUAGCUGGGUGUGGUGGUGGGUACCUGUAAUCCCAGCUUCUCAGGAGGCUGAGGCAGGAGAACUGCUUGAACCUGGGAGGCAGAAGUUGCAGUGUGCCGAGAUUGUGCCACUACUCUCCAACCUAGGCAACAGAGCGAAUCUACAUCUCAAAAAAAAAAUAAAUAAAAAUAAAAAAUAUAUACAUAGGUACCAGAGCUGAGAACGUAGCAGCCUGGGACCAUGUCAUUCAGGAGCAAAUAACAAGCCCAGAAAAUGCCUGGGAGAAGUCUUGUACCAGUCCACUUCAUGGUUUAGUAGGAACAUCAUGGACUCAGCUGACAAUGAUUUGGGCAUGGCCCUGCCACUAACCCACGAGAAGCUGUAGACCAGUCCCUUUCAUUUCCCCUUUCUGGGGACCCGCUUCCCCUUGUGCAAAAUGGAGUCACUAGAAUCUAGUGUCUUGAUCUCCAAGAUGAUUUCCACUUUUACCUUUCUGUGUCUAUUUUUGUGUUCCUUCUAAUUCCCCUGGGUCUUCAAGGAAAGGAUGAAUAAUUCUUGGUAGUCUUUGUGUUAGAAGGCAGGGGGUGGUCUGAGACCUGCACAGGGCAUAUUUGCUUAUAUGGAUUGGCUUAUAUCGCCUCCCAAAUCCUGGAUAUGCUCAGACAUAUCCCAAAAGGUUCUACAAGGACAUAUUUACAAACAGCUUCCAAACAGCAGUAAAAUGGCAAAACAAGCCUUGCAAGAGAAAUUCUGUAUACCAGACAAUUUAAUUCUGAACAAUGGACCACAUGAGGGUGUAUAAAUAACUAAUUAUGCUGGACAACAUGAACAGCUUUUUUGGAUGAUUGCAAAAUUGGGGAGGAAGGAAAUGUGAUGGGUAUUUAUAUAUUUGGGCUUCAGUCAAAGAUUUCAUAUUCAUUCUUAAGCAAUUUGACUUACAAAAUUAGCUCAGACUAGAACAUGGUCAAACGACUUGAAACUGGAAGAAAGUCUGCUAUCCCAGGGGGAUGGUUUGUGCCCAAGAAUCCAAGGGAAUGGAAUGGAGUACUGUGUGUGUGCUCCUGCAGCCUCUGCAGGCUGCUCAGUGAGAGGUUUCUUGGUCUUCAGAAGGACCUGCAGAAAAGGAGUAGGGACUGUUUUGGAGCAUUUGUAAUAAGUGUUCCAAUAUGAAUCCACUUCAUCUUGUUAUCACACAAGCACACGCUCCUGAACACGCAGGUCCACAUUUUUCCUAGGUUCCUCCUAUUCCAUCAGUACUAUGCCAAGCCUUGAAGUGACGGAGACUGGAUUUCUGGGAGGUGCAUGGGGACACUUGGCUCACCUCUAAAUCCAGUGCCUGCUACUACUUCUAGUGCCUACAUACCAGGUACACAGAAAUACUUGUUGAACCAACUAGUUUUUUAAUGAAAUAAGUAGCAGACUGUCCUUGUGAAAACAGAAUCCUUUGUGAACACAGAGGGGACAGAACAGUUCAUUCUGACCUUAGGGAUUGCAAGGCCCUUUCCUUCUUGCCGCAGGGCCUUCAAACAUCUAUUUGCCCCUUCUUGCCCUCUGCCUAAAUCCUAUUCAUCUUUAUAUUGCUUCCAGAGAACCUUCCCUAACUCCAAACCCCUCCUCCUUGUCCUUGCAUCAUUCUAUUUCAUGACAUCAUGUCCUUUCUCUUCAAAAUACAUAGCACAACUUACUAUUAAUAUCUAUUUGUGUGUUUGUUUGUUGGGAAUCUACUCCUACAAUAGACUAUGAGCAAUAAUGUCUUUCUUAUCCAUGGCUAUCUCGCCAGUACCUACUAUGGUGCCUGAUGCCUAGGAGUGCAUAGUAAAUAUUUGUAAGUUGUUUAUUGAAUAAAUGCAUAUUAUUUACAAAGGAAGUAGAAUUUGAGCAGGACCUUGAAAAAGAUUUUGACAGAGAUAUGCAAGAAGAGAAUUCGAGGAGGAUGGAACAACCUAAUCAGAAAAAAAAGAACAGGAAAAGUACACAUAGGAGUAAUUUGAAUGGCCAUGAGAAUGUCAGUGUUUGCCAGAAAUGACAUGCUAAGAAACAGCAGUGGGAAUCACCCUGAUUUUUGCAGAAGAUAAAUAAAACUACCAGAGCUGAGCCUUAGACAAGUGGCUCAAGAAGUUCCAUGAAUAAUCGAUGGUUAAAAAGAGAGACUGGAGAGAAGGAUAUUAUUAGGAGGCUGCUAAAGUGACGCAUGCAAAAACCGAUGGGGGAUCAGACAGAGCAGCUGUGGUGGGAAUCGAAAGAUCAAAGACUGCAGAAUGAUUGAAUAGAAUGCGUGCAGGAGAAAAGAGAAGGAGAAAUUAGCAAUAAUCCUCAAGUUUCUACCUGGGAGGGUGGGUGAAGCAGGUGGAGCUGUGAGCAGAGAUUGCAAACACAGCAAAAGUCAGAAGACUUUGGGCUGGAAGUAAGAGAGCUUUAUAUAGACAUCUGGUGUUGGAAGUGUUGAAGAGCCACCAGCGAGAGCUAUCUGGUAGAAAAAAGAGAGAUCUGAACUUAGAUGUGGGUUUAAGUAACACCUGCCCAGAGUGGGCAGCUGGAGUUGGUGAGCCAACUCAGAGUCCCAAGAAUGCCUUAGGACCCACCUUCUUUACUUUUUCUGUACAGUAACUGAGCUUGAGCCUCAAAUAGUGGUCCCCGAAGAAGGCUUCUAGAAUCCGCCAGGCUGCUAGGAUCUAUACUGGCUUCCUUUGUUGGACAUUUGGUAGAAGUGAGAGACAGGACUAGCCGGAUUUCCUAGGCCAACUAAGAAUCCCUAACCCUAGCUGGGAAGGUGACCGUGUCCACCUUUAAGCAUGGGGCUUGCAACUUAGCUCACACCCAACCAAUCAGAUAGUAAAGAGAGCUCACUAAAAUGCUAAUUAGGCAAAAACAGGAGGUAAAGAAAUAGCCAAUGAUCUAUCGCCUGAGAGCACAGCAGAAGAGACAAUGAUCAGGAUAUAAACACAGGCAUUCGAGCCGGCAAUGGCAACCCCUUCAGGUCCCCUCCCUUUGUAUGGGAGCUCUGUUUUCACUCUAUUAAAUCUUGCAACUGCACUCUUCUGGUCCCUGUUUGUUACGGCUGGAGCUGAGCUUUCGCUCGCCGCCCACUGAUGCUGGCCGCCGUCACAGACCCACCGCUGACUUCCAUCCCCCUGGAUCCCGCAGGGUGUCCGCUGUGCUCCUGAUCCAGCAAGGCGCCCACUGCUGCUCCUGAUCGGGCUAAAGGCUUGUCAUUGUUCCUGCACAGCUAAGUGUCCGGGUUCGUCCUAAUCGAGCUGAACACUAGUCACUGGGUUCCAUGGUUCUCUUCCGUGACCCACGGCUCCUAAUAGAGCUAUAACACUCACCGCAUGGCCCAAGAUUCCAUUCUUUGGAAUCCGUGAGGCCGAGAACCCCACGUCAGAGAAUACGAGGCUUGCCACCAUCUUGGAAGCAGCCCGCCACCAUCUUGGAAGCAGCCCGCCACCAUCUUGGAAGCAGCCCACCACCAUCUUGGGAGCUCUGGGAGCAAAGACCCCUGGUAACAGAAGCAUGUUCCACAUAUCGUUGAGUUGUUGUCAAGAUGUAGAUGUUGUUCUUGCAUACUGGAAAAUCACCUCCUACUUCGAAUAUCUUCUUGAUUCUCUCUCCUGCUGUGCCCUUCUAACCAGCACAUGAAGCCUAAGUUCCCUUUCUCUUGACUCUCUCCUACCCCACACUGCAAGUAAUCAAAUCGGAGUUCUCCCUGACCAUGAUGAAGUUUGUGUCCCCAUUAAGGAAAUAAUAAACAUGGGGAAAAUAUCCCACAUAGAGCUAGAAAAGAAUUCUCCUAAAAGUAGAAACUUUAGCUUUGACUGAUAGAAAAGGUAUACCCCUGAAUGUUUCCAAACUUAAGUCACAAGGAAGCCCAGCCAAGUACCAGACUGGUGUGAAAUAAUUUCCCCAGGUGAAGAGUACCACACUAUUAGUCGACCGUGCAAUUGAAGAAGAGAACGUUGCUUUUCACCAGUCAUCUAGGGUCUGGAAUGGGAAGGCACGAGGCCAGUGUGAUGUAGACAUACUCAGCUCUCAAAGAAUUUUUCCUUGAAAGAGAAAAACAAAGGCAGGAUGAGAACUCAAUCAGCUGCUUCCUUCGGGAGACUGGGUGUAGCAGGACGGGCCCCUCACAAAUAUGCCAAGAAUGAAGCUUUUAAAUUACCACCACCAAGAAUACUGGGUCAGAAGUUCCUAGAAUUACUUCCUACUUGGAUCAAAGAAGCAUAGAGGUACAACAAGGUCUGACAUCAGAUGUGAAGUGAUUUUGAACCCUGACCCACACUCCGAUCCCCUUGGAGAACAUAACUACUCCUGGAGGUGGAAGCGGAUCCUGCCUUAAUGGAUAAAAACUGAGACAAGUCUUUUGUUCUUUUUAAUACCCCAAAGGGUUGAGCUUAAGCCUUUCUGUAGGAGCAAAGACAUCACCGUAAGGCAAACAGUGCUAGUACAGAACCAUAAAACCCUUCUCAGCAUCUAAAGGAUACCCAUUAUGUUCAUCUCAAAGUCAGAGUUAUUUACUUUGCCUUUUACGUUGACAUUCUUUUCUCUACUAUGAUAGUUAGCAAAAUUGAAUGAGAAAAGGCCCAAGUUCAAAAUCCGCUCUGCUGCUUACAGGCCUUCUUGGUUUCAAUAGUCAAACCCAGUGAUGAUUCUUGCCUGAGCAAUCUCAGGUUGUUAUGAGGAGUAGAGAAUAUGUAAAUAUGGGAAAGGGCUUUGUGACUAUUCAGCUCUCCACAUGUAAGCGGUUGUAAUCAUUCACUGACUAAACCUAUCAGGUGGAUUUUCUUCAACCUCAGUUGCUGCUUCAUUCUCCCUUAGGGUCAUGAAGUAUCAGCAAGAGGCUGUUACUAGUUUUCUUGGGCUGCCUCCUGUCUGUCUCAGUCUGUAUCUACAAUGGAACCGACAAUGAAUCAUAUCUGUGGAGCACCAGGCAACUCAGCACUCCAGUCUGUUAAAGUGUCUUGCACUGCUUAUAUUACAGCAAAUAAAACAGGAAAGGAAAAUAUAUUUAUUCCCAUCAUUAAUAAUCCAUCAUGCCUAGUCAAAUUGGUCAUAGUAAACUGGAACAAUCACUCUUGCCUACAACAGUCUCAAUAUAAGGGAGUUCAUUGUGCUAGCUGGGAACUUGGGACCAGAUCAUCCUGGAUCUCAGUGGGCCACUUUCUGGCUGAGUGACCCCACAAAGGUCACUUAAUUCCUCAUAAUUUCCUUAUAGAUAUAAUCUUGGUUAAUAAUAACAACCUAUGUAAAGAGUGAGCAUAUUAAGUUAAAUGAGGAAAUAAUGAUAAAAGUGUUACAUAGUAAGUCCGCAAGCACAUUUGGGUUCCCUUCUUCCUUGCAGGUGAAGGGAAAAUAAAUAAUAAUAAUGAUAGCUGGCUGGGCAAGGUAGCUCACACUUGUAAUCCCAGUACUUGGAGAGGCUAAGGAGGGAGGAUUGCUUGAGCACAGGAAUUUGAGACUAGCCUGGGCAAUAUGGCAAAACCCUAGCUCUACAAAAAUGCAAAAAUUAGCUGAGUACGGCAGCAUGCACCUGUAGUCCUAGCUACUCAGGAGGCUGCAGUGGGAGAAUAGCUUAAGUCUGGGAAGUUGAGGCUGCAGUGAGCUGUGAUUGUGCACUGCACUCCAGCCUGGGUGACAGAGCAAGACCCUGUCUCAAAAAAAAAAAAAAAAAGUAAAUAAUGAUAGGUAAUACUUACAUAGCAUCUAUGAUACAGCAGGCACUGUUCUGAGAGUUCUACUUAUUAAUAUAUUAGCUCACCUAGUCUUUGCAACUCUGAGAUAGAAUGCUGUUUUCAUCUAACCUUUACAGGUGGGUAAGCUAAAGCUCAGUGAGAUUAUAUACUUACCUGGGGUCACAUAGCUCACAGGGACAGAACCAGGAUUUAACUCAGGUGCUCUGACACUACAGUGCUGUGCUAACCUACCAUGCUACAACGCUGCCCAUGAUUAUGGAUAUUAAUCCACAGGCUUCUUUCAACUUUAUAUUCUGAGAGCUGAAACAUAGGCUUUUUACCCCUAAUUAAUAUGGCAUGUCUUCCUAGACAAUAUAUAUUCUAAUUACAUUUUUAAUAUCUGUCAUUUGUAAUGAUUCAGCUUCUGAUAAGCUUGUUAACUGAAUGUCAUUUUUUUCUCCACCUAAACUACCUUUGGAAAGUUCACACACAUCAUGCAGUUAUUUAUGAUUUGAGGAAGAGCAUCAUAUAUGUAAACUAAAAAAUGUUUAUUAAAGUUAGAAUUAAUAAUGAUUGAUUUGAUUUCACUGAUGAGUUAAUUGGGGAAAUGAACAGGUAAUUGGGUAUUUACAAAAGAAGGUCAAGAAUGGUUUGUGGGAGUAGUCAGUCAGAUCCAUUUCCUAAGCUUUUGCUCAGCCUUUCCUUCCUAAAACCCAGCCUGCUGGGGAGCAGGAAAAGAAAGCAAGGCACCGUACAUUUGCUUACGACUGACACACUUUUCUCACAAAAGCUGUGCUCUGAUCUGAUCUACUCUGACACCUCCAAAGGCACUUUUGUCUACAGAAUAAAACCAAACCUCAUCUGUUUCUCAAGGGUCCUCCGCACUCGUCUGGCUCCAGACCGCUUGUUCAUGACUGUCUUCCAAUAAGCUUCAGACCCUUGCCAUUCCCCCAAAAAGAUUUUUCCCCCCAAAAUCUCUAAGCUCUCCAUUGCUCCAACAGGCCCUUCCCUCUCUAAUUCUGCCAAAGUUCUAGUAAGUUUUCAAGACUGUUUCUGGGGUGUCCAAUCUUUUGGCUUCCUUGGGCCACAUUAGAGGAAGAAUUGUCUUGGGCCACACAUAAAGUACAUUAACACUAACAGUAGCUGAUGAGCUUGAAAAAAAAAUCACCGGCUGGGUGUGGGGGCUCACGCCUGUAAUUCCAGCACUUCGGGAGGCUGAGGCAGGUGGAUCGCCUGAGGUCAGAGUUCGAGACCAGCCUGGCCAACAUGGUGAAACCCCGUCUCUACUAAAAAUACAAAAAUUAGCUGGGCGUGGUGGCAGGUGCCUGUAAUCCCAGCUACUUGGGAGGCUAAGGCAGGAGAAUCGCUUGAACUCAGGAGGCAGAGGUUGCAGUGAGCUGAGAUCAUGCCAUUGUACUCCAGCCUGGCGCAACAAGAGCGAGACUUUGUCUUAAAAAAAAAAAUCACCAAAAAAUCUCAUAAUGUGUUAAGAAAGUUUAUAAAUUUGUGUUGGGCCAAAUUCAAAGCUAUUCUGGGCUGCAUGAGGCCCACGGGCCAUGGAUUAUACAAGCUUGGACUGUACCUUCUCUACUUGUAUGUCCCACAUACCCUCAGUUCAGAAUUAGCUUUUUCUUUCUUCCAUUUCCAAUGGCACAAAAUAAUACUUCUAUUUUAGAACUGAUCCCUCAUUAUGUUGCACUGAAUUUUGUAUGUGUGUCUACUUGUUCCACCAGAGUGAGCCCCUAAAUAGUAGGGUGAAGGUCACAUUCAUCUCUGAAUGGUCCUUCAUUAACAUAGUUCCUGGCAAGAGGAAGUUUUCAAUAAAUUUGGUUUACUUGAAUUGAGCUUCUUAUACAGCAGAGUGAAAUUAUUUUGUGACUACAGUUUGAGAGCAUACUCCCCAAGGCUAAAACGGACAAUGAACUUUUUUCAACUAACUGUAAGAUAGUAUAAGCCAUCAAUCUCUUAAAGCCAGAGGGAAAUUCACCUUUAAGCACUUGGAGAUUUAUUUAACUAAAGGAGUCAUUCCACCAGAAAGCAUCAUUGUGAUUUCUCUCAUUAUCUAAAAUGAAUAAGAAUUAUUAUAAUGAUAAAUUAGUGGCAGGAGACACUGAUUUUUAGAAAGGAAAAUUAAUAAUGCACAGUGAAUAAAAUCUCAUUUAGAUGUUCUUUGCACAUGCUCUCCAAUAAUAAUCAUUCAAUUUAUAGCACUUUACAGUUAGUGCAUCCAUAUAUAAUUUCAUCUUCACAUCAACACAGAAAAGCUAGUCUCAUUGCCAACUUACAAAUAACAAAACUGAGUCUAGGCAGGCAAGGAAACAAAUAACUAUUAAGUACCAGAGUUGGGUCUCAAAUCCAGGACCCCUGACUAUAUCCUGGGUUAUCUUCUCCCAGGCAUUGCCAGCCCAGGAACCUCCCAAGGGUAAGUCCUGCAGAUGAGCAGCUUCCUCUCCAGGCCCCUGGGCAUCCUAGUCAGAGGCCUCUGUGUAUCUGUGCCACCCCAGCUACACUUGGUAGAGCACACUUGAGGUGUCUCAGUGCUAUAGAACCACCCACUUCAGGGUGUUUCACUGUGCAUAGUCCUCUUAGGCCUCUAAUGACAUUUCAGAAAAUUACUUUCACUUUUUUAAUCAAAGUCCCCUGCCUUUACGAAACAAUCAGUGUCUGACUCUCUAAAUCUCUUCUUCCUAUCAUAAUUGCCAUCCCCAGUAAACUGCCUUAUUUUUUUCAAAUAUCUUCUUUCAAAAUGAAAUUAAGCUUUGGGAGGCCAAG
This 9205-nucleotide long non-coding RNA is filed under the name Homo sapiens (human). RNAcentral's name for it is "HSALNT0317018". Lineage: Eukaryota; Metazoa; Chordata; Mammalia; Primates; Hominidae. The record is from RNAcentral.